AUGAAAUGGUCAAAAGUAUCAUCUAAAAAGCGGGAAGUGGAAUGAAAGAGAAGAUAAUACUGGAAAAAAAACAUUGUGCAAACAAUCAAAUAGAUGUCGAGACCGAGAUUUGCACAAACGGGGGAAAAGAGCUCACCGCUCUACCUAU
This is a non-coding RNA of Caenorhabditis elegans, 148 nucleotides long. Lineage: Eukaryota; Metazoa; Nematoda; Chromadorea; Rhabditida; Rhabditidae. The record is from Ensembl.